GACGAACGCUGGCGGCGUGCUUAACACAUGCAAGUCGAACGAGUGGCGAACGGGUGAGUAAUACGUAGGUAACCUGCCCUCCUUUUUGGGAUAAGCCUUGGAAACGGGGUCUAAUACCGAAUAGUGAGGGAAGGGCUCGCGGCCUAUCAGCUUGUUGGUGGGGUGAUGUCUACCAAGGAGGGACGGGUAGCCGGGCUGAGAGGUUGGUCGGCCGCAGUGGGACUGAGACACGUCCCAGACUCCUAGGGGAGGCAGCAGUGGGGAAGAUUGGGCAAUGGGUGCAAGCCGGACCCAGCAUCGCCGCGUUAAGGAAGACGGUCUUCGGAUUGUAAACUUCUUUAGACAGGGAUGCGGUACCUGUAGAAUAAGCCACGGCUAACUACGUGCCAGCAGCCGCGGUAAUUC
Molecule: ribosomal RNA, 405 nt
Filed under: uncultured bacterium
Lineage: Bacteria
Description: partial 16S ribosomal RNA
Rfam family: Bacterial small subunit ribosomal RNA
Source: RNAcentral